Non-coding RNA from Coprinopsis cinerea okayama7#130, 92 nucleotides. NCBI's taxonomy places the organism in Eukaryota, Fungi, Basidiomycota, Agaricomycetes, Agaricales, Psathyrellaceae. The record is from the annotation of a RefSeq genome assembly.
GUCCGUAUCGAUUAGGGGUUAAAUCACUUCGUUGUGGCAUGCACUGAGCGUACAACUCCGAAGAGCCGCUGGUUCGAUUCCAGCUACGGACA